Molecule: ribosomal RNA, 455 nt
Filed under: uncultured spirochete Nn416
Lineage: Bacteria; Pseudomonadati; Spirochaetota; Spirochaetia; Spirochaetales
Description: bacterial SSU rRNA
Rfam family: Bacterial small subunit ribosomal RNA
Source: RNAcentral
UUAAGUCCCGCAACGAGCGCAACCCCUACUGCCAGUUACCAGCAAGUUAAGUUGGGGACUCUGGCGGAACUGCCGGUGACAAACCGGAGGAAGGUGGGGAUGACGUCAAGUCAUCAUGGCCCUUAUGUCCAGGGCUACACACGUGCUACAAUGGGCGGUACAAAGCGGAGCGAAGCCGCGAGGCACAAGCGAAUCGCUGAAAGCCGCCCGUAGUUCGGAUUGAAGUCUGAAACCCGACUUCAUGAAGUUGGAAUCGCUAGUAAUCGCGCAUCAGCAUGGCGCGGUGAAUACGUUCCCGGGCCUUGUACACACCGCCCGUCACACCAUCCGAGUUGGAGGUACCCGAAGCCGGUAGUCUAACCGCAAGGAGGACGCUGUCGAAGGUACGUUUAGUGAGGAGGGUGAAGUCGUAACAAGGUAGCCGUACUGGAAAGUGCGGCUGGAUCACCUCCUUU